GGAGUCUGGAGACGACGAUCAGGUAGGGAGGCUUGGGCCUUGAGAAUCGUGCGGCAUCCUUUGGCCAGGGCCGUCUGCGGGAUCGGGGCCGGCGUCUGUGCGCAGUAGCCGAGCCAAGUGCGUGGUGGAGACGAGCAGGCGCCCGCCCGGCCCGACCCAUCCGGACCCAGGGCUCCGCCGUGUCCCGGUGGCGGCCUCUGGCCUGAGAUGGAGGAAAUCGGGAGUGGGGUUGGGAAUGGGUGCGGGUCCUGCCCUGGGCCUCUCGCCACAGCCGUCGCACGGAGUGGUUCGGGGGAGCCGGUCCUUGAUCGCGUGCGGGCAAUCGCCGGCCUGCACCGAACCUCGUUCCUCUCGUGAAAACCCCGAACCGAUCCCCUCUGUAAAUCAAAAUUAAAUUAAAAGGGAUACCAUAAAACCUCGGUCCUGUGUGGAGUGCUUCUAAUCCUAACCCAUGACGGCUACUCCCGAGUCGGACACAUUUGCCGGUCGGCUUCCUCCGUGGUGGAGUAGGAUGGAUGCCAUAUGUUUGUAUUCUCGUGGAUAUUCACUCCCACCGAGCAGAGCGAAGAUACAUUGAGUAGCCAUCAUGGCCCAGACGAUUUGAACCCUACCGAAUCUGUGUUUGCCUAGUUUGAGGAUGAGAUCGGGUGACUGUACGUUCGAGACCUGCCCUUGUGCUUCUGGCGAUUGGACCCUAUGAGGAAGGCACAAGAGGGAGGGAGAGAGAUGCCAGGGACACUUGAAACCUACUUCUAAGGCCUGUGGUGCUUGGGGCUUUGUGUGUGUGUGUGUGUGUCGAGUAGGGAUAUCUUGGUACCAGGAAGAGAAUACAAGGCAGGUAUCUUAGACUGUUCUGCUUAAUAGUCUUAGUUGCUGGGAGAUGACCUAAUUUAUUGAGUGCUGCUCAAUAGCUAGUUUGUUCUGAAAGUGGUGAUAGUGUGUUCUACUUCACCUCAGGUUAGUCAAAGGACUGCCUGGGACUUUGGC
Molecule: long non-coding RNA, 987 nt
Filed under: Mus musculus (house mouse)
Lineage: Eukaryota; Metazoa; Chordata; Mammalia; Rodentia; Muridae
Description: long non-coding RNA chr18:60774664-60775651
Source: RNAcentral